This 2601-nucleotide long non-coding RNA is filed under the name Salmo salar (Atlantic salmon). RNAcentral's name for it is "lncRNA (ENSSSAG00000110702.1)". The record is from RNAcentral. Lineage: Eukaryota; Metazoa; Chordata; Actinopteri; Salmoniformes; Salmonidae.
CUCUCUCUAACCCUCGUUCCCCUCUCUUCCCCUUCCUCUCCACUUCCCCCCUCUCUCUGUCCCCCUCUCUCUCUCCCUCUCUCCCCUCUCUCUAACCCUCGCCUUCCCCACUCUCUUCACCUCCCUCCUCCUUUCUCCCCCUCCCUUUCCUGCUCUCCUCAUUUUCUCUCUCUCUCUCUCGCAGUGCAUGCUGGGAGUUUUUGGGAGUUUGAGUGUUUGGUGUGGAGGGCUCUGUCCUAACUAACUUUCUUGAUUAUUUUCUUUACAUGGUAUUUUCUAUGGUGGAGGGUUAAUGCAAUAUUUGUUUUAGUGGUAUCCACAGCUUUUUCAAAGUUAGGGUGGAAGAGGACAGAGUUAGUUUCCUGGGGUUUGGAAGGUGUGGUGUGCGCGGAGGAGAUGCUGUCGAUAUGGCAUGGAUUCAGGUGUGUUCCUGAGAAUGGAGUUAAGGUGGAGGAGGUUCUGCUCACGGUCGGUGAACAGUGGAGCGAUUGGAGAGGCAGUCUGCAGAGCUGAGACUGGCCCCACAGCAGCCAUGGAGAACACAUUCAACACACGGAGAUAACCACACAGCACCGGAACAGCAGUCUACGGCAUUGCAGUGCUAGAGGCAUCACUACAGACCUGGGUUCGAUCCCGGCCUGUAUCACAACCGGCCUAGAUCGGGAGUCCCAUAGGGCGGCAGACAAUUGGCCCAGCGUCAUCUGGGUUAGGGGAGGGUUUGGCCAGGGUAGGUCGUCAUUGUAAAUAAGAAUUUGUUCUUAACUGACUUGACUGGUUAAAUAAAGGUUAAAUAAAUGAAAUAAUCUCCAUAUGGCAUUGAUGUAUACAUGAUGGAUAUGUGGAGUAACUAGCUCAACUCUAGAUUGGUUUUCUUCAUCGAAUCGGACUGAAAAGUAUGUUUAAAAGCCACAGCUGCACACACACACACACACACACACACACACACACACACACACACACACACACACACACACACACACACACACAUCAUUGGUUGUGUGUCUCAGCAUGGGCCCAUUUCCAAUCAAAGCGCUGGGGUCAGCAGUAAGGAUGUCUCUAGAACUGUUUUCUCUAAUCACUAACUGAUUAGACAUUUCACACUGAGACAGACCUCAUCAGAAUCCUUCAUGUGUUCAGUCACACAUCUAUGCAAGUUUGUGUGUGUGUGUGUGUGUGUGUGUGUGUGUGUGUGUGUGUGUGUGUGUGUGUGUGUGUGUUUUAAUGAGAGUCUGAAGUUAAGUUUUGGCUAGUUGGCUUUAGCGUCCAGCAGAGACAUAAACAUGUUGAUAUCUCUGAUGUCCAUCAGAUGUUGUUUUUACUGGAAAUAUCAGUUCCCCAUCUGAAAAGUUUAGGUCUAACUUGUAUUAUUCAAUGAAAGAAAGUGAGGACCUAACCAAAUGUUUCUACUGGUUCUUUUAACUAUCUGGGAAUUAUGGACUAACGUUUGGCAGAGGACUCUAAAAAGUCCUGUUUUGUUGUCUGUGUGUGUGUUUGUGUAUAGCCACUGUCCAGGUGAUAAAUAUGUCCCUAGGAGGGGUGUGUCACUUGAGUGGGUUGAGUCACUGACGUGAUCUUCCUGUCCGGGUUGGCGUCCCCCCCCUCGGGUUUGUGCCAUGGGGGAAAUCUUUGUUGGCUAUACUUGGCCUUGUCUCAGGAUUGUAAGUUGGUGGUUGAAGAUAUCCCUCUAGUGGUGUGGGGGCUGUGCUUUGGCAAAAUGGGUGGCGUUAUAUCCUGCCUAUUUGUCCCUGUCCGGGGGUAUCGUCGGACGGGCCACAGUGUCUCCUGACCCCUCCUGUCUCAGCCUUUUUAUGCUGCAAUAGUUUGUGUUGGGGGGCUAGGGUCAGUCUGUUAUAUCUGGAGUAUUUCACCUGUCUUAUCCGGUGUCCUGUGUGAAUUUAAGUAUGCUCUCUCUAAUUCUCUCUCUCCCUUUUUCUCUCUCCUUCUCUCUUUCUCUCGGAGGACCUGAGCCCUAGGACCAUGCCUCAGGACUACCUGGCCCGAUGACACCUUGCUGUCCCCAGUCCAUGCUGCUGCUCCAGUUUCAACUGUUCUGCCUGCGGCUAUGGAACCCUGACCUGCUCACCAGACGUGCUACCUUGUCCCAGACCUGCUGUUUUCAACUCUCUAGAGACAGCAGGAGCGGUAGAGAUACAAAUGAUCGGCUAUGAAUAGCCAACUGACAUUUACGACUGAAGUGAUGACCUGUUCCACCCUCUACAACCACUGUGAUUAUUAUUAUUUGACCCUCCUGGUCAUCUAUGAACAUUUGAACGUCUUGGCCAUGUUCUGUUAUAAUCUCCACCCGGCACAGCCAUAAGAGGACUGGCCACCCCUCAUAGCCUGGUUCCUCUCUAGGUUUCUUCCUAGGUUCCGGCCUUUCUAGGGAGUUUUUCCUAGCCACUGUGCUUCUACACCUGCAUUGCUUGCUGUUUGGUGUUUUCGGCUGGGUUUCUGUACAACACUUUGUGACAUCAGCUGACGUAAGAACGGCUUCAUAAAUACAUUUGAUUGAUUGAAAUAAAUUUGAUUGUCUAGCUGUGGGCUGAUCAAACCUGAUGAGGUAUUGUGAUGAAUCAGGGUGUAAUGGUGUCUGAAACGGCC